This 368-nucleotide ribosomal RNA is filed under the name uncultured alga. Its description in RNAcentral is "partial 23S ribosomal RNA". It matches the Rfam family "Bacterial large subunit ribosomal RNA", at positions 2099 to 2462 of the family's 2925-position model. The record is from RNAcentral.
GCUUGACUGUAGCUUGUAAUGGGUUCGGGCUUUUUUUGCGCAGCCUAGGUGGGAGGCAACGAUGAUUUUUUUCCGGAAAAAUUUGAGCCGUUAGUGAGAGACCACUCUGAAAAGGCUAGAAUCCUAAUAAUGAUCCUUGAAUCAGGACAUUUGACAGUUGCAGGUGGGCAGUUUUACUGGGGCGGUAUUCUCCUAAAAAGUAACGGAGGGGUGCAAAGGUUCCCUCAAGCUGGACGGAAAUCAGCUUAAGAGUGUAAAGGCAAAAGGGAGCUUGACUGCAAGACCUACAAGUCGAGCAGGGGCGAAGCCGGCCUUAGUGAUCCGACGGUACCACGUGGAAGGGCCGUCGCUCAACGGAUAAAAGGUUA